GCAAAUAUUUCCAUUCUUAUACACAUAACAUUCAUUUUAAUAUUUGCAAAAAGCCAACAAUAUAUGUAUCUAUAACACUUCAUGACAUAAGAAAAAUCAAUUCUGUAAUGAAGAGCAUGGGCACAUUGCAAGAUGGUAUGCCAUCUCCUACAAUGAUACCUACCUCCUGGGACAUUCUGAUAGUGGACUUGAAAGACUUUUUUCACUAUUCCACUGCUCCCAGAUGAUACUCUAAAGUUUGCUUUUACAGUGCCUUCCAUUAAUAACACAGCACCAGUGCAACGUUAUCAAUGGAGAGUACUUCCCCAAGGUAUGAAAAACUGUCCCACAAUUUGCCAGUGGUACAUUGCACAGGAACUCUCAUCAGUGAGAGAGCAAUUUCCCAGGGCAUGCUGUUAUCAUUACAUGGAUGACAUUCUGAUUGCAACCUGUAGUAGUUUAGAUUCACCAAUUUGUGUUUCCCGGCCAACGCACCAAAUAAUGUGGUGGUUUUAAAGCACUGGCUAAAAAUCACCAGAAAACUUACUCAUCUCUUGCUGUGAGAUAUGCAUUAGGAGAGGGGCAAAAAAGGCUUAAAACUUAAAAGGAAUAAGGAAAGUUUAUUAACAGAACUACAAGAAUAAGAAACCUGAAUAAAACCUCCAGAAACCCUUCCUCCUCACCACCCAACUUUUCCCUUGUCCAGCUGACAACAUAGAGACAGAACCUGGUGGCUAAAGCGGUACCAACUAUACAAUAGUCUUUUCAUCAGUCUUUGUAGAGAAAGGAGCUGUCGUUUGUGAUUCCAUGGAGAGUUCUCCACAAGAGAACAGUUUUCUCAUGGCUUUUCUUUCCCAUGAUUGGCAGCCACUUGGAAAAAUCUCUGCCAUCAAUGCCCUCCUCCCAUUUUCACACCAUUCUGAGGUGUGUUCAUGGGCCAUGAACUCAAGGGGUAUUAUUUUAAGGAUGAGUUAUUCAAAAGCAAAGGUGUUCUUCAUCUGUUUCUAUAAUCAUCUCUGGGAAUGGAGGUUUUCUCUUUUUUCUCCCUGAGGGCCAAGGGUCUUCAUCAACUCUCACUUCUCUCUCUCUGAUCCAGCAUCGCAUGAGAUCACAACUACUCCACCAUCUGUUCAGCUUCAUCAAUGGGUACCUUUGCUCAGAUCUACACUUUGAAAUACUUCAUUCCCCCCAAAUACUCUUUAAUGAAGAGGUUUUCAGAACAUUAUUGUCCAUCUCCAUGGCCUAACCAAAAGAAUAUUCCAGUUUAUUAAAGCAUCUCCUCAUUCUCUUUCCAUCUGAGGCUAGACUCCUUCUUUUAUUGACUUUGACGGUUUAUAUUGUCUCUUUACAUGUUGAUCACCCUCACUUUCCUCUCUCUGGAAAGGGAUUAAAUCUGCAGGUCUCAUCUGGGUAGUGAAAGGGUUAAAACGUGGCCCAAACCACAGCAGGUACUCAUGGUGUUGGAUUUCAGUUUGGCAGCCCCAGGGAAGGCAGUGAAGGGUUUUCAGCUGCUUUUCAGCCUGGAGCUGUCUUUGCAGGCCAUGGGGGGGCAUACCUUUGAGAUGUCAGCAGCCAUGGCCCAGCACAGCCUAGGGCUGCUGUGCCCCCAGGAAAGGCUUCAGCCACCCUGCUGGAAUAAAACCCAGAUUUCCCAGGAGGACUGCAGCAGAGCCUGGCCCUGGCCUGGGGUGGGCAUCCCCGAAGGCUCCAUCCCUGGCUAGGCCGUAUGGGCCUGGGAGGCAGGAGGGAAUGGGGGCCAGCCAGAGUUCUGUUGUCUUUCAAAGCCAGAAACAAAGAGAGACAGAAGUUCUCAGGCUUAGGUUUAAAAGGUGGUAUUCACAAAGGUAAUCUUACUUUUCAAUGGUCUACAAUACUGUCAAUUCUCAGAAAUGACUGGCUACUGGCCAGGUCUCAAGCAGAGAAGAAACUCCCAGCAGCCUCUCUCAGAGCCCUCACUUCUGUGGGUGUUCCUCACUUUUUUUUUUCUUAAAUGCCAAUCCAUCACACAACCCAAACAAAAAAGAGCUCUGAGAGAUUCAGACAAGCCUUCAGCAAGCGUUAAAAAAAUUUGUGCUGCAGGUACCACCAGAGAACGUGCAGCUGCAAGCACCCUGGAAAUAUUUGGGAUUCAAUGAAGCAGACUAUACAGACACAAACAAUUCAGUUUUCAACACCAACUGAGUCAGACCUUAUUUAGGAUUGACCCACUCACAAUUAGCACCUUUAUUUGACCUCCUAAAAGGUGCUCCAGAGUUAACUUCCCCCGGAAAAUUAACACUAGAGGCAAAAGCUGCUCUCAAAACAGUAGAGUAAGCUCUCUGAAACAGACAAGUCCACUGGAUAUGCCCAGAGGUGUCUAUCACUGUAUUUGUUAUUGUAAAUCUUCACCCUACUGGUAUUAUAGGGCAGUGGAACACUCACUGGCCUGAUCCUCUACACAUCAUAGAGUGGAUGUUUUUACCUCAUCAACCAAAAAAGACUGCAUCUACAGUAUUUGAGCUAAUUGCAGAAUUAUUUAUCAAAUGUUGUCACAGGAGUUUACAAUUGAAUGCAAAGGAUUCUUCACAAAUUAUUAUACCUGUGACACAAGAACACAUUGAAUGUUUUGCUAACAGUUCAGCCUUGCAAAGUGCCCUGUAAAACUUGACAUGACAAAUCACUUACCAUUUACCAAACCUGAAGGAUUGCGACCUCGCCUGCCAGCUCCUGGGAGUGAAUGCUACAAAUUCCAGUCACUACAAGAGAUUGCUGACUGAGGGGAACUGUUUGUCAAAUUAAGUGGAACACCUCAUACAAAUUAAAUCCAUGCUGUCUUCUGUGACUCUGUCUGCAGUGGGCCACUGCAGAAUCUCUGUCUUUGCCUCUCUCACGACUCCUUCUUCGUUUACUUGGACUCCUGCUGGUGUCUCUCCUGUGUCUCGAGCCCUCCGUAUCCCUACUGCUUCCCCCAGACUGCUGCGAGUCCACUGAAGCCGACCGCCUGUCUUCCCUUAUGAAAAUAAACUUAAGUGAUUUUAAUCAAUAAAAAUAAUUUCACAGUCA
Parus major (Great Tit) is the source of this 3021-nucleotide long non-coding RNA. RefSeq lists it as uncharacterized. Lineage: Eukaryota; Metazoa; Chordata; Aves; Passeriformes; Paridae. The record is from RefSeq and is a predicted model, not a curated record. The transcript has 2 exons.